GUUUGACCUUUCUCUGAAGUUUUCCAUUAACAUAUUCAAUUUGUGUGUGUGUGUGUUUGUGUGUGUGUGUGUUGACAGAUUAGAAGAGUCUGUGCCAGAAGAUGAAAAAUGGAAGAACUACGGAGGUGUGUAUGUAGGUUUUCCUACAAACCUGAGUGACAUUCCUGCAAUACACAUCGGAUCACUCAGAGAGCACGACUUGUCGUCCCUCGGGAGGCCGCUGUGGAGGGACGGAUCCUGAUUUUAAUGAAGAGCAGUGAACUGAAAGACGGAGAAGAAUUAAGAAGAGGAAACCCUGCAGGCGUCCUUCAGUUUGCCAUCAGAGACUCACCGAGUGAUGAGGAGCCGCUCUCAUCUUCUCUCGCUGCUUCGUCCUCCGUGAGGACUGUACUGGGAUCAGCUCCUCCUGGUUUUGCUUGCUGUGGAGCCUGCUGUAAAACAAACUGGUUAAAGACUUUUGGAAGCAGAUGGACUCAUCAGACAGUGACAGUUUGCAGUUUAAACAUAUGAAGGUGCUUAGAUAGUUGGUUCCACUUCAUUUGACCUUAUUGGCUUGUUGUGUAUCUGCUUAAGGAAACACCAGCAGCAGCUGUUACAAGAGGCAGAAGCUGUGGUAACUCUCCUUGUUGAGGGAGUAAUACUGAGUUCAUCCAAAUAUGUAGUAGGACUAAAUGUUAAAUAUAAAUAGGGAUAAGUGUGGUGAUAUUCAGUCAACAAAAAUCAAGUGUCAGUGUAUCCCAAUCCUCUUCUUAUGUGCUUCACAGCUCUAUUGUUGUCAGAAAACUAUGAAAACCACACCGAUGAGCCACACGGUUGCACUGGUUGGCAUUUACCUUCAUCAUCAUGAACACACACUGUAUUUGUAUUUUGACGGCCUGCUUCAAUCCAAUGUGGAAUCAUUUGCUGCUGAAAAUAGUCCCUAACAAAAGCACUAAUGACCAAUAUUUUACAAAAUGACUUUAGCCUUUUAGGAAUAUACAAAUAUAGAUCAAUGAGCUGUUUUCAUAUAUUAAUUGUACGAUGUCGAUGUUCAAUAAAACAUUUUAUUUAGGGAGCAUGUUUCUGUAAGGUUUCCACAGUAUAAUACCAUAGUGAUGAAGGCUGGAUUAACGUUUAGUACUCACGUGUAGCUUGUUUUGUUUGAAAUGAUAACGUGCAGACUCUUGGCGUCUCAAGGACACAGACAGCAGUAAGUGGCUCCUGCUGUGAGAGGACGUCAGACAAUCAUCUCUCCUUUGGGCAUUUACACAAAAUGAAAGCUGUAUGAAUGUUUUUGAGUCUACCAUUUGUGCUCAACGUGAACCCACCUGUUCUCUCCCAAGGAAAAUACCUGUUGGUUUCUUAGGAAGUGGCUAAAAGAAAGCACAUUAUGUCACACACAGCAUGGCUCUGAUGUUUCUCAAUUUGAUUAUUUAACAGAAAAGAUAAUUGAAAUGUAUUGUAUAUUGCAGCAAUUUGUUCAAGUCUGUUCAAAUCCACCCAAAUAAACCACAACCUGCAAAUGUCUUGAGGUUGUAUUUCAACACAUGUUUCAGACAAUUUUAAUUAGGAACACAUUCAGAGAAUAGAGCUUAUUAAAAUGACUUGUUAUCCUUCCUUCUCACCACAUCAAUACUCAACCCGCUACUGUAUAGUACACAUUCACUGUAUUUGAGUUAAUGUAAAACAAUCUAUCUUAAUAUUAGUCUUGCUCUGUGAUGCUGUUGUGGCAUUUCUGCACAAAAAUGUCUAUGUUUUUGUAGAGGUUUUGUUUUUUACUGUCUUCAAAAUGUUUUCCUUUUGAGAUGCGAAAAUGUGUAAGAAAGUAAAUUAUUUCCCCUGAAAGCUGCUUCUCUUUUUGUUUUCAAUCAAGUGAUACUUUUGCUGACUUUUGUUUAACCAUGAAAUGUAAAAGACAAAUAGAACAUAUAAACGGCAGGAUAAAGU
Molecule: long non-coding RNA, 1926 nt
Organism: Trematomus bernacchii (emerald rockcod)
Lineage: Eukaryota; Metazoa; Chordata; Actinopteri; Perciformes; Nototheniidae
Exons: 4
Source: RefSeq, a predicted model, not a curated record